UCACAGCCUCUCACGCUCUGUUCUUCUCCCACACGCUCUGUUCUUCUCCCAUCUAUUCAAACCCUAAUUCCAUAGCGAACUAUCACAUCUCCCAUCUGCACUUCACCUUUUCAGUCGAUUAUAAUUUUUUGCGCGAUUUGAUGAAGAUUGCUGCUUCGCGGUGUUCAGGUAAGAGAUUUAUUGCGAUUUGAUGAAGAUUUCUGCUUCGUGGUGUUCUGGUAAGAGAUUUAUUACAAGGCAUUUUCCAAUCAUAGUUCUGAUAUAGAAGGUAAUGGUUUGUUUCUUCAAUUGUUACAUGAUGAUUCCACACAAGACCAAGCGUUUGACUGCUACACUAAAGUGGGACAGUCAAUUUACAACGAGUUGGUUCUAUUGUUCGGGAAAUUGGGGAAUCUUGUCUUCAUUGAUCUCCUAUAAAGGUUGGUAUGGAACUAGAAUGGAGGUUAUUUCGGAUGCAGUCAAUCAUGGCGGAUUUUGGUAGGGUUUCGAUGAUGUUGGCUCUGGGUAGUCUCAGUUAUCUUGGUGGAAAUGUUCGGUUUAAUUUGUGUUCUCAGUUCAGGAAGGAAUAUUACUGAUUUGCUUCUUUUUCCUUUUGUUGGAAUAAUUAGUCAAAAGUGCUUCAAUUUGUGUAUUUGCAUGUUGAACGGAAGGUGUGUUGAAAGGGUAAAAUGGAAUAAUAGUUUUUUUUCAUAAUCUUUGAGAUUGUUUAUUUACACUGUAUAUUUGUAUUCUUUGCCUCCUAAUUACACGUUCAAUGAGAUUUAUUUUGGGGGAUUUUUUUCACUUUGAUUUUUAGUUUAGGUUGGUGAUGCUCUAGCAGGUUCUUGAUUGCGACAAUGUGUGAAAUGUGAAUUAGCGAUUCAGGUAGAUUGUAGAAUUUAAGUCACGGCAUCGACCAACCAAUUGAGUCGAGUAUGAACCAAAAAGGUAACAAAGACGAAUAUGAUUUUUUUUCGUGAAAGUAUAUGGACGAUUAUGCAAAAUACUUUCAUUUGUUUAUUUAUGUUCAUAGAUGUCAAUAAAAUAUGCGCUAUAAUUUUGGUGGGUUUAACAAUCUGGGUUUCCAGCGUUCUUUAGAAGAAAUUUGCUAUUCUUUUUUUGAUUUUUUUUUAUAUUGCAUUUGUCUAUUUUUACUGUUUGAUUGCCAAAAUUCCUUUUGAAUCUUCUACUUAGGGGAUGUUUAGGAUUUUCCUUUUUUUAGUCACUAUUCAUAAAAUUUGAAUUUGUAUCUUAGAGAGCAUUUUUGAAAGUGAUUUGGUGGAACGUUUUAGUAUGGAUCAAACUCCCCAUUCUAACUUCAUUUGAAUCUAUGGCUGACACGAUUGAAAUUGGGUGGAGACAAGAGGUGUUGGAGGGUACAAUGGGCUUUGAUAGUACUAUGGAGUUCAUGAUUUUAGUCAAUAUAAAUUGAAAAAGAGAAAGUGACUGUGGAAGUGGUGGCUGUUGCGGAGGAGGAAGAAGCGGUACUUGAAGUAGUUUUUCAAGUGUAGGAGCCAUCACAGCUGGUUGUUGAGCUCAAUGCCUAAAUUUAGGAAGCCCCAAAGACGCGAUAUGCUUCUAUUGGUGUGCUCUGUCAGAUGUACAGUUGACAGCUGUAAACUGUCACUUGGACGAGUGCAUGUACCGGUAUGUUAUUUUAAUCAUUUGACAAGAUUUUAGGUUUUUGCUUUGUGAUGAUUUUUUUUUUAAAUUUUCUUACGAUGUAUGUAGUGAUUGCUGGUAUUGAAUUAAAGUUUAGAUGCUUUGUAAAUAAACGUUCAUAGCAAUCCUUGAAAAUAUGAGGGACUUUAUGUCACAUUUAAUAAUUUGAAUGCUGAGAAUCAUUUGUUUUUAUAAAGAGCUUGCUAAAUCUGAUUUAUUUAUCUAUAAAGAGCUUUACGAGAUGGAGGGGAUUAACUACUAUCACUUACGAAGAACUCAUGUCAUCUUUGACGAUAAAUGCUUUUACUUCUUAGACUUUCUAUGACUUAGGCCUUUUUGUCAAGAAGGUCGUACUCCCCGUAAGAGUGAUGACUGGCCAAGAAAAAUAAAUCUAAGGUUAUGGGUUUUGUCAAGAAUCAAAAGUUUUGAAUUCAAAUGGUGGGAAUGUUGUCUCUGUUAACAAAUCAUCUGGUAGGAAUGUUGAUUUCAGUGUUUGAGUUUGAGAUGAGUGGGAUAAUGAUGGGUACACAGAAAGUAUGCAUCUAAUAAUGGAGAUAGAUGGAGAGGUUGGGCUGAUGAUAAAGAUGAUGAAAAUAGUUUUGGCCAAACACCAUCUAAUGGUAAAACCUUUAAUAAAACUAGGGAAUCAAAUGAGUAAGAAGUCUUUAAUGCACUUUAAUCAAAUUUUGGAUCUUACAAAUUAACAGUUUAACAUCAAUAUUUUCAUUAAUUUAACAGGGCGUUUGGAUACGAUCUCUCACCUUCGGCAGGUUCUUUCUUCUCAUUUUUUUAUCAUUUGCCAUUUUUUUUACCGGUACUAACUUUCUUCAUUGUUUUAUAUUGAUUUUGAAGACUUGGGCAUUUUGGAGAACUUUUAGUUCUUCAAACAGCCUUCUUUGCAGUUAGAAAUGCUUUGAUAUAAACAAUGUGUCUUUAAUAGAAGUUGCUCAUCAGAAUUGUUAGUUAUGCAAGCAGAGCUCUAAAGAAACAAAGAAGGGCCCACAUCUUUUGACGAAAUUUGAUGUUGUCAGGGGCAUAAUGAUACGAACGUUGGCAGAUGCUUCGAAAGAACAAAGAUCGCUUGCACCGGUUCAGAUCAUGUUCACGGUUUGUGGGUUUGUUAUAACGAUCGUUAGUACAAUCAUAGUCACGGUUUAUGCAAAGACACGGCUCAGUGAGUUGCAGGCAAACGAUGAACAACUGAUGUUGUUACAGUGACAUUAAAGUUAUCUACUUCAGGUGGUCUUAGGAUGUUCAUAUGGUGCUGGAUGGCUGGUGAGGUUGGUGUGACUGGCAUGGCAAAACAAUAGUUGAGAUUAUAAAAUUACGGAGGCAGGGGUAUUUUGGGAAUACUGUAAAGGUGAUGAUUAGAAGGUUUUAGGGUCCAAAUAUAUGGUCUGAUGUUGUUAAGGAACAGGUUAUGAAUUUUCUGAAGUCCAUGAGAUUAGGCUCUGUUUGUCUAAAGAUUUAUGUUUGGAAGGGGCAUUCUGGGAAUAUUGAAAAGCCUAAUAGCAUAUGGCAGUUACAGGAGUUCAAUAGAGGCUUUGCAUCUUCCUACAAUGGCAUGAUAACAUGGAUGAGUUGGAAAUAAAGAAAAUGGAAAAAGCAUAAGAAGCCCACAUAGAUGAGCUGGAAAUAAAGAAAAUGGAAAAGGCACAAGAAGCCUACAAGGCUGCCAUUGCAACUACAAAAGAGAAGCAAGAUGACGAGUUGAUCCCAAUAGCUACCAAUCUCCGGUUGCAUCUGCAAUAUUUUGUUUUAAAAAGUUGGCUGGUCUGAAUUUCAAUAGGACAUCAAAUCAUUCAAUGUUGGGCUAGCCCACUUGGUAGCCACUUUAUGACACAGAGUACGGAAUCUUAAAAUAUGUUAAUAUUUAUGUUAUUUAGUUUUUUAGGCAAGUAUAAUGUUUGGUA
Long non-coding RNA from Helianthus annuus (common sunflower), 3554 nucleotides. RefSeq lists it as uncharacterized. NCBI's taxonomy places the organism in Eukaryota, Viridiplantae, Streptophyta, Magnoliopsida, Asterales, Asteraceae. The transcript has 7 exons. The record is from RefSeq and is a predicted model, not a curated record.